This 1348-nucleotide long non-coding RNA is filed under the name Apteryx rowi (Okarito brown kiwi). RNAcentral describes it as "lncRNA (ENSARWG00000005727.1)". The record is from RNAcentral. Lineage: Eukaryota; Metazoa; Chordata; Aves; Apterygiformes; Apterygidae.
UGCAGACAUUUGAAAGCGUAAAGGGAGGGUGGAGGAUGUCUUUUUUUCUCUCUCUCUCCCUCCUCUCUCUCUCUCUCUCUCCUCUCUCUCUCUCUCUCUCUCUUUCCCUCUCCUGAAUUAUUCAUAGUGUCAGUGGUGAAGCCAGGACUAUUAGCAUGCAUCAGACAUGCUGUUUGUCUGUUUGCUAACAUUCUUCAUUCAAGACUUGUUAACUACCAGACAAGCUUAACACGCUUCUCUUUUUUCCCCUCCCCUUCCCUCUCCCUGUGUCUCUGUCUCUGCGCGCCUGCCUCCCCUCAUUUCUGCCUUCCCUUGCCUUGCCUUUCAUGCCACCCCUCUCAGCCUCCCAUUGUUGUUGCCGAGAGCUGGCAGCCAGGGGUGGCGGUGGCAGGGGAAGCAUGCGGACGAGGAGCCGGAGCCCGGUUGCUAGCAUACUAGCCUGGAUGCAAUCUCCCUGUAAGGAGUGUGAAAUGUACAGCUGCAAAACUACAGUUUUAAGCAAAAAAAAAGCUCUUCCUCAUCUGAACCAUCAUUCAAAACACAAGAUGAAAGUAGCUGAAGAAAAGUUGUUUAUGAUAUCAUCUGCAGGACUCCUAGAAAAUUCUUUGGAAACUUGGGCAUGUCUGUCUCAGGCUGCCCCUAAAAGAAAUGAAGUAUUAAUCUGGCAAGAUGAAAUCAAGAUGCACAAAGAGAAGAUAUUAGAGACUAUUCUGCAAGGUGUUCAGAUUCACUGAUAACAUGCAAACUGGAGUCUGCUUGCCGUUGUCUGUUUGAGAUAUGACAUCACAGCUAACAAGGGAGACUAAGAAGUAAUGUGACUCCAGACAAGUAUUUUGGGUAGAUCACUUGUGUCAGCUGAGAAGUUGAAAAAUGAUUUUUCACUUGGAACAGAGAUUUGUUACUGCUCCUUUGUAGUUAAGGCAUGCUUUAGGAAGCACUGAGUAAAAAAUUAGUGGGUUGUUUGCAUUUUGGAAAAUGUUCAUACUUUCAGAAGGCAAGGGAAUCAAAACCAGCACAUUCCUGGAGGGUACAUUUAGUUAGGACAUGCUGGUAUAGGCUAAACUUUUGGAAAGCUUUGCAGUCCAUCAGCAUUGCGUUCUAGUUUUGGUGGAGUGUAACACACUGCUCUUUGUAACUGUGCAGCUUCCACAUUCUUUCAGACUUAAUUAUUUGCAUGUUGCAGUUGCAUCCUUCUCAGUAAGCUUACAUUCAGCAGCGUGUCAGAAAAAAAGAUUUGCAUAUUUGGACUUCAUUGAAUAACAUACCUGUUUGAGGAGUCUCAGUGCCUUCAGAACCAUGUAUUGGUUACUAUCCAGCAUAAUCUAAAUAAAACAAGUCCCACAACACA